AGCAGCCGCGGUAAUUCCAGCUCCAAUAGCGUAUAUUAAAGUUGUUGCAGUUAAAAAGCUCGUAGUUGAAUUUCGGGGUUAGUAGGUUGGUCAUGCCUCUGGUAUGUACUGGUCUCACUGAUUCCUCCUUCCUGAUGAGCCGUAAUGCCAUUAAUUUGGUGUUGCGGGGAAUUUGGACUGUUACUUUGAAAAAAUUAGAGUGUUUAAAGCAAGCUAACGCUUGAAUACAUUAGCAUGGAAUAAUGAAAUAGGACGUUCGAUCCUAUUUUGUUGGUUUCUAGGAUUGACGUAAUGAUUAAUAGGGAUAGUUGGGGGCAUUAGUAUUCAAUUGUCAGAGGUGAAAUUCUUGGAUUUAUUGAAGACUAACUACUGCGAAAGCAUUUGCCAAGGAUGUUUUCAUUAAUCACGAACGAAAGUUAGGGGAUCGAAGACGAUCAGAUACCGUCGUAGUCUUAACCAUAAACUAUGCCGACUAGGGAUCGGAUGAUGUUAAUUUUUAAUGACUCAUUCGGCGCCUUAC
This 520-nucleotide ribosomal RNA is filed under the name uncultured Glomus. Its description in RNAcentral is "SSU rRNA". It matches the Rfam family "Eukaryotic small subunit ribosomal RNA", at positions 569 to 1091 of the family's 1831-position model. Lineage: Eukaryota; Fungi; Glomeromycota; Glomeromycetes; Glomerales; Glomeraceae. The record is from RNAcentral.